CGAUGUAUCGUGAUGCGAAUGGGUGAUAACAAUAAUUACGAGAGAGUGUUCUCUCGCUCGCUUUAAAAAGCGACUACUGUGGACGCAAAUAUUGUUAUAACGCGGCCGCGCUCGAGGUAGAGUGCCUCUACAUCUACCGAAUCCGAGGCGUAUCGUCGUCGUCGUCGUCGUUGUCGUGUUCUCCACGUGUGCACCACGCCGAUCCGAGCCGCAAAUGCAACACAUACGCUCGACGAGAGCGCAUCGUCGUGCAUAAGUGGCACUCCGAUACACCGAGAAAGUACGAACGGCGAGCUGACGAAGAGAACGUAGGCGAAACACGAAGAAGUGCAUUACCGAGGCAUAAAAUCAAGAGAGACAAGCCGACAAAUGCAACCCCCCUCCCGCCCGCAAAUAAACGCAACGAUGUAAUUACGUAAUGUCAAG
Molecule: long non-coding RNA, 426 nt
Organism: Acromyrmex echinatior (Panamanian leafcutter ant)
Lineage: Eukaryota; Metazoa; Arthropoda; Insecta; Hymenoptera; Formicidae
Source: RefSeq, a predicted model, not a curated record